UUAGUUGUCAGCGAGUCAUGUCGGAUACUCUAAUGGGACUGCCGGUGACGAGCCGGAGGAAGGUGGGGAUGACGUCAAGUCAGCAUGGCCUUUAUGUCCAGGGCCACACACGUGCUACAAUGGACGGUACAGAGGGAUGCAAUGCCGCAAGGUGGAGCCAAUCCUCAAAAACCGUUCUCAGUUCGGAUUGCAGGCUGCAAUUCGCCUGCAUGAAGCUGGAAUUGCUAGUAAUCGCAGAUCAGCUACGCUGCGGUGAAUACGUUCUCGGGCCUU
This 273-nucleotide ribosomal RNA is filed under the name uncultured Aminicenantes bacterium. RNAcentral describes it as "partial 16S ribosomal RNA". It matches the Rfam family "Bacterial small subunit ribosomal RNA", at positions 1111 to 1382 of the family's 1533-position model. The record is from RNAcentral. Lineage: Bacteria; Candidatus Aminicenantota.